CACGUAGGGGGCGAGCGUUGUCCGGCUUUAUUGGGCGUAAAGAGCUCGUAGGCGGUUGCGUAAGUCGGAUGUGAAAACUCAGGGCUCAACCCGGAGACGCCAUCCGAUACUGCGCUGACUAGAGUCUGGUAGGGGAGCAUGGAAUGCCUGGUGUAGCGGUGAAAUGCGCAGAUAUCAGGAGGAACACCAGUGGCGAAGGCGGUGUUCUGGGCCGGUACUGACGCUCAGGAGCGAAAGCGUGGGUAGCGAACAGG
This 254-nucleotide ribosomal RNA is filed under the name uncultured bacterium. Its description in RNAcentral is "partial 16S ribosomal RNA". It matches the Rfam family "Bacterial small subunit ribosomal RNA", at positions 524 to 776 of the family's 1533-position model. The record is from RNAcentral.